RNAcentral lists this transfer RNA (58 nucleotides) under Xenopeltis hainanensis. RNAcentral describes it as "tRNA-Ser". The record is from RNAcentral. Lineage: Eukaryota; Metazoa; Chordata; Lepidosauria; Squamata; Xenopeltidae.
GAGAAGUAACUAAGAUCUGCUAACUCUUUAACCUGAUAAUAAUAUAUCAGACUUCUCU